Long non-coding RNA from Ziziphus jujuba (common jujube), 1275 nucleotides. RefSeq lists it as uncharacterized. NCBI's taxonomy places the organism in Eukaryota, Viridiplantae, Streptophyta, Magnoliopsida, Rosales, Rhamnaceae. The transcript has 3 exons. The record is from RefSeq and is a predicted model, not a curated record.
GCCAGUUCCUCUUUUUAUUUCUCUCUGUCUCAUGCUCAUCCCUACAACUUCAAACAAGAAAGGAGCCGAGGAAAAAAAAAAAAAAGAUAACGGUCAAAUAAAUUUGAAUUUUCAUCUUUUUAUUUUUAUUUUUAUUUUUAAACCAUAUAUAUAUAUAUAUUAUGAAUUUCUCAGAAGAAGGAGAAUGGCUGUACUUUCUCUCGGAAAAAAAAAAUUUGGGGAGGGUGAGAGAUCGUUGAAGGAGGCGAUGAAGAACUGCCAACGAUCCGAGAUUUCAGGUUGACCGGCGUCUGCCAUUUCUGAUCGGAUCGUUGAAUGCUCAUUUUGUUAAUUUCUAUUAUUGGAGACGCUGCCGAUCGAACCGAAAAACGUCAUCGUCUUACCGGAAUUAUCACAGGAAGAGUGGAGAACUGGAAGAGGGGAAGCUAAGCUUGGUCUGGGGUGUUUUUAUCUGUUUUCAAGCUAAAAAAGAAAGUGUAGGGGGGGAGUUGUGUAAUUAAUGUAAAGUCUAAUGGAGGCAUAGUUCUAGGUCUAACUGAUUGAUAUGUCUUUUUCAUAGAAAAUAAUGAUUUUUUUUUUUUUUGGGUGUUUGGGUGAAGAGUAACACUCCGGGAUUGCUGGAGGUGCUCUUCACUUCUGGUGUGGGUGGGGGUGGUGGGUGUGUUGCGUUCUCUCUCCUUCUCUCUCAUUUGUUUUCUUUCCUUUUCUAUUUUUUCUCUCCAGUUUCUCUCUGUUUUACUAUCUCUGCAUUUUCUCUCUGCUUUUCCCUCUCCUCUCUCUUUGUAUGCUUUCUCUCUUGGCUAUCUCUCUAUUUCGUUUUUUCUUCACUUUCUCUUUUUUUUUUUUUUUUUUUUUUUUUUUUUUCUCUUUACUUUUUUAUCACUGCUUUUUCUUUAUACUUUUUUUUCCAAUUUUUUUUCCCUCUAUUUUCUUUCUCAACACCCUCUACUUUCUCUAUGGAUUUCUUCUAUGUUUCCUUUAUCUUUCUUUUACUGCUUUUUUUCUCUCCACAUUUUUGUUUUCUAUUUUUCUCUAACUUUUCUAUGUACUUAUGCUAUCUAGUUUACUUUCUAUGUGAAGUUGUUUUCAUAUGGUAAUUUGUGUAUUCAACAUGCUAUCAAUGCCGUUAAAAAAUUAAAUACAUAAAAAUAGCCCGUACUUUUUAUUUUAGCUAUAUCUACAAUUAUAUACCUUAAAAAAAAACAUAAAAGACAAUACGGACACAACACACACACACACACACACACACACACACACACACACACGCAAGAGAAA